UGAGGAAUAUUGGUCAAUGGGCGCGAGCCUGAACCAGCCAAGUAGCGUGAAGGAUGAAGGCUCUAUGGGUCGUAAACUUCUUUUAUAUGGGAAUAAAGUUUUCCACGUGUGGAAUUUUGUAUGUACCAUAUGAAUAAGGAUCGGCUAACUCCGUGCC
Molecule: ribosomal RNA, 157 nt
Filed under: uncultured bacterium
Lineage: Bacteria
Description: partial 16S ribosomal RNA
Rfam family: Bacterial small subunit ribosomal RNA
Source: RNAcentral